CUUCACUCAUCAGUCAUCUGCCUGCGUCCAUCCUUCUCUGUUUUCUGUCUGAGUCCAAUAAAUCUUUUUACUUGCAAUUGGGUCUCCCUGUAAUUCGUGACACCUGAAGCAUGGAGCUGAAGAGGGCUUAGAAUAUAGAGAGCUGCGGAGGGCCUGGAGCGUGGAGCUGCGGAGGGCCCGGAGCAUGGAGCUGCGGAGGGCCUGGAGCAUGGAGCUCCAGAGGGCUUAGAACAUAGAGCUGCGGAGGGCCUGGAGCGUGAAACUGCAGAGGGCCUGGAGCAUGGAGCUGCGGAGGCAAGGCAAGGUGUCGAUUUUAGUUUGCCUACAUAUAUUAUGUGCCAUUGAGAGUGAAUGAGAGCAAACAACUCAUGACCUCACGGUGUUUGGAAAUACCCAUUCGGCAUCCCGAGGAAGAGCUGAAGUGAGAGAUUGGCUCUUACCUUCCUCCUAGGAUCCUGCGGAAAGGCUGGAGGUGUGAGAGAAAGGAUUCUAAACUGGAAGGCAGCGCGUCCCAUGCUGGCAGCGCUUGGGCUUCACACCUGGAAAGAGAAAAAAAGUCUCAUGUUACAUUAGCUACACAUGGCACACUGCAUCUAUUUGCAGGUGGAAUCCCCAGCCCCCCACAGGGGAAAGAACAGUCCUCCUCUUCUCCUUUUUGCAGCCUCUCCAUUGCAGAAGAUGAAGUUCACAAGGAUCAGGUUGAGAAAAAUCGCCCUCCAUUCCUGGAUGAGCUCACUGUGUACCCCAUGGAAAGAAAGGAUGGGGUACUGGGAGGAUUUCAACUCACAUAUUAGCCCCCAAGAUGAAACCUCCGCACCCUGGGAAGCACAGCCAUUAUGCCCGAUUCCAGAUGCGUGACCACACUUUGCACCCCAGAGGGUGGUAGCUGGCCCCCGAUGCUCGCCUCUGAUGCUCUGAUGUGUGUCUGAUCU
RNAcentral lists this long non-coding RNA (932 nucleotides) under Danio rerio (zebrafish). RNAcentral describes it as "lncRNA si:ch73-223p23.1 (ENSDARG00000097744.2)". The record is from RNAcentral. Lineage: Eukaryota; Metazoa; Chordata; Actinopteri; Cypriniformes; Danionidae.